RNAcentral lists this transfer RNA (74 nucleotides) under Candidatus Nomurabacteria bacterium RIFCSPHIGHO2_01_FULL_41_91. Its description in RNAcentral is "tRNA-Met". It matches the Rfam family "tRNA". Rfam says of the family: Transfer RNA (tRNA) molecules are approximately 80 nucleotides in length. Lineage: Bacteria; Candidatus Nomuraibacteriota. The record is from RNAcentral. RNAcentral also lists the same sequence under 5 other names.
AGCGGGGUAGAGAAGAGGCAUCUCGCAAGGCUCAUAACCUUGAGACUCUGGUUCGAUUCCAGACCCCGCAACAA